This 1007-nucleotide ribosomal RNA is filed under the name uncultured Verrucomicrobiota bacterium. Its description in RNAcentral is "bacterial SSU rRNA". It matches the Rfam family "Bacterial small subunit ribosomal RNA", at positions 509 to 1504 of the family's 1533-position model. Lineage: Bacteria; Pseudomonadati; Verrucomicrobiota. The record is from RNAcentral.
CAGCAGCCGCGGUAAUACAGAGGUGGCGAGCGUUGUUCGGAUUUACUGGGCGUAAAGGGUGCGUAGGUGGUUGUGUAUGUCAGAUGUGAAAGCCCACGGCUUAACCGUGGAAUUGCAUUUGAAACUGCCAAACUAGAGUACUGGAGGGGAGAAGGGAACACUUGGUGUAGCGGUGAAAUGCGUUGAUAUCUUGUAGAACAUCGGUGGCGAAGGCGGAUCUCUGGAACGUAACUGACGCUGAGGCGCGAAAGUCGGGGGAGCGAACAGGAUUAGAUACCCUGGUAGUCCCAGCCGUAAACGGUGCACACUUGGUGUGGGGGGAAUUGACCCCCUCCGUGCCGGAGCUAACGCGUUAAGUGUGCCGCCUGGGGAGUACGGUCGCAAGGCUAAAACUCAAAGAAAUUGACGGGGGCCCGCACAAGCGGAGGAGCAUGUGGCUUAAUUCGAUGCAACGCGAAGAACCUUACCAGGGCUUGACAUAUACCUGCACGCCCCCUGAAAGGGGGGAAGCCUUCGAGGGUGGUAUACAGGUGCUGCAUGGCUGUCGUCAGUUCGUGCCGUGAGGUGUUGGGUUAAGUCCCGCAACGAACGCAACCCUUGUGUUUAGUUGCCACUCCCGGUGUUAAGUCGGGAAGCACUCUAAACAGACUGCCCGUGCAAGCGGGAGGAAGGUGGGGAUGACGUCAAGUCAGUAUGGCCCUUACGCCCUGGGCUGCACACGUGCUACAAUGGCAGGGACAGUGGGAAGCAAUACCGCAAGGUGGAGCAAAUCCUCAAAACCUGCCUCAGUUCGGAUUGGAGUCUGCAACUCGACUCCAUGAAGUCGGAUUCGCUAGUAAUGGCGUAUCAGCUACGACGCCGUGAAUAUGUUCCCGGGCCUUGUACACACCGCCCGUCACAUCAUGAAAGCCGUCUGCACCCGAAGUCGCUAAGCCAAUCCCUUACGGGAAGGCAGGUGCCGAAGGUGUGGGUGGUGAUUGGGAUGAAGUCGUAACAAGGUAACCGUA